AUGCGGGAGCAGCGCGCCCGCGGCGAUCCGCUUCUUGCCGGACUUGACAUCGGCGAGGUAUGCGUUGAAGCGCUCGGCGUCGUGCUUGAGGAAGAGGUCCUUGUAGUUCUUCAUGGCCACGGAGGCCACGCGCGUGUACACCACGGACUCCCAGGCGCGCGCCGAGAUGAACACCUCGGGGAGCUUAAGCGCGGCGCGGAGCGGCACGAUGGCCGCUCUGCGGAGGCGCUCGCGCGCGCGGUACGCGUAGUGCGCGUCCGGGAGGUCGUCGCCGAGCUCCGACGACGAGCCUCUGGGGAAGAGCCGCCGCGCGAUGGCCUCGCAGAGGAGGGUGGAGCGGUCGUAGGACGAGUCCAGCGACGGGCACCACUUGGCCGCGAGCGAGAAAUCCUUGACAUUGCCGACAGACAGCUUGCGCAUGUCCUCCGCGAGGAGCUCGGCGAACAGGUCGGCCGUGCGGUCGUGCAGGGACCGGUACGUGGAGUCGCGGCUGUACAUCUCCAACGCCCUCGCCGCGGCCUCCGCCCUCUUGGCCCGACGCGACAACGCGGCCGCGGCCGCGAGCCCCCUAUCACGCUCCAGGCUAGCCGCGACACGCUCCUCCGACGCGCCGACGGGCGGCGCGCGGUCCUCGCUGCGCGGCUUGCGGCCUCUCCCCCGCCCGCGGCCGCCGCGGCGUACGAAGCCGCCGUCCUCCGCUUCGCGGCGGGCCUUCUUGCCGGGGGUCCGGGUGGACUUGCCGCCGUGCACGAUGCGGUGGAGCAGCUCGGGCAGGUCCUUGAGGUAGCCGAAGGCGGCGACGGAGGCGGCGUUGCGCGCGAGCGUGGCCGGGUGGCGGGCGUGGAGCCAGAGCGCGGCGGCGUAAAAGCCCUCGCGGUCGGACUUGCCGGAGCCGCGCACGCCGCGGAGGUUGGCGACGAGGCGGAGCGCGGAGACCGGGUCGGCGGCCCAGGCGGCGGCGAGCAGCGAGGCGACGGAGGCGGCCGGCGUGCCGGGCACCACGUGGAAGAAGAAGUCGAGGCAGGGGUCCCCCGAGGACACGAACGUCGGCGAGGAGUUCUCCGUCAGCGCCUUCCCCGCCCCGACCGUCGCCUUGUUGAAGCUGGCGUCCAGCAGGUCGACGAACGUGUCGCCCGUUGGCGCCGCCGCGGCCGCGCCAAGUGCGGUCGCGGCCUCCGGCGGGCCGACCAGGGCGAAGCCGGCCAUCGGAAUCGGCGGAGUUUCUGA
This 1227-nucleotide ribosomal RNA is filed under the name Triticum aestivum (bread wheat). RNAcentral describes it as "partial small subunit ribosomal RNA". Lineage: Eukaryota; Viridiplantae; Streptophyta; Magnoliopsida; Poales; Poaceae. The record is from RNAcentral.